CAGUCGAGCGGAACGAUGGGAGCUUGCUCCCAGGCGUCGAGCGGCGGACGGGUGAGUAAUGCAUAGGAAUCUGCCCGGUAGUGGGGGAUAACCUGGGGAAACUCAGGCUAAUACCGCAUACGUCCUACGGGAGAAAGCAGGGGAUCUUCGGACCUUGCGCUAUCGGAUGAGCCUAUGUCGGAUUAGCUAGUUGGUGAGGUAACGGCUCACCAAGGCCGCGAUCCGUAGCUGGUCUGAGAGGAUGAUCAGCCACAUCGGGACUGAGACACGGCCCGAACUCCUACGGGAGGCAGCAGUGGGGAAUAUUGGACAAUGGGCGAAAGCCUGAUCCGCCUGCCCGCGUGUGUGAAGAAGGCCCUCGGGUUGUAAAGCACUUUCAGUGAGGAAGAAGGCUUGUGGGUUAAUACCCUGCAAGAAGGACAUCACUCACAGAAGAAGCACCGGCUAACUCCGUGCCAGCAGCCGCGGUAAUACGGAGGGUGCGAGCGUUAAUCGGAAUUACUGGGCGUAAAGCGCGCGUAGGCGGCUUGAUAAGCCGGUUGUGAAAGCCCCGGGCUCAACCUGGGAACGGCAUCCGGAACUGUCAGGCUAGAGUGCAGGAGAGGAAGGUAGAAUUCCCGGUGUAGCGGUGAAAUGCGUAGAGAUCGGGAGGAAUACCAGUGGCGAAGGCGGCCUUCUGGACUGACACUGACGCUGAGGUGCGAAAGCGUGGGUAGCAAACAGGAUUAGAUACCCUGGUAGUCCACGCCGUAAACGAUGUCGACUAGCCGUUGGGGUCCUCGAGACCUUUGUGGCGCAGUUAACGCGAUAAGUCGACCGCCUGGGGAGUACGGCCGCAAGGUUAAAACUCAAAUGAAUUGACGGGGGCCCGCACAAGCGGUGGAGCAUGUGGUUUAAUUCGAUGCAACGCGAAGAACCUUACCUACCCUUGACAUCGAGCGAACUUUCCAGAGAUGGAUUGGUGCCUUCGGGAACGCUCAGACAGGUGCUGCAUGGCUGUCGUCAGCUCGUGUUGUGAAAUGUU
This 1024-nucleotide ribosomal RNA is filed under the name Halomonas sp. Its description in RNAcentral is "bacterial SSU rRNA". It matches the Rfam family "Bacterial small subunit ribosomal RNA", at positions 59 to 1076 of the family's 1533-position model. Lineage: Bacteria; Pseudomonadati; Pseudomonadota; Gammaproteobacteria; Oceanospirillales; Halomonadaceae. The record is from RNAcentral.